GCAGCAGUGGGGAAUAUUGCACAAUGGGGGAAACCCUGAUGCAGCAACGCCGCGUGAGUGAUGACGGCCUUCGGGUUGUAAAGCUCUGUCUUCAGGGACGAUAAUGACGGUACCUGAGGAGGAAGCCACGGCUAACUACGUGCCAGCAGCCGCGGUAAUACGUAGGUGGCGAGCGUUGUCCGGAUUUACUGGGCGUAAAGGGAGCGUAGGCGGAUUUUUAAGUGAGAUGUGAAAUACUCGGGCUUAACCUGAGUGCUGCAUUUCAAACUGGAAGUCUAGAGUGCAGGAGAGGAGAAGGGAAUUCCUAGUGUAGCGGUGAAAUGCGUAGAGAUUAGGAAGAACACCAGUGGCGAAGGCGCUUCUCUGGACUGUAACUGACGCUGAGGCUCGAAAGCGUGGGGAGG
This 404-nucleotide ribosomal RNA is filed under the name uncultured bacterium. RNAcentral's name for it is "bacterial SSU rRNA". It matches the Rfam family "Bacterial small subunit ribosomal RNA", at positions 348 to 769 of the family's 1533-position model. The record is from RNAcentral.